UCGAAAGAGCCGCACAAAAGCCCGGCUUAGAGAUGCGCUAAUGACAGGGUGGCAGGGACUGCGCCUCUAAUGCUAAACGAGCUUCGCCCAGCAGAAUUGUUUGAGCGACGGGACCUGCCUGCAGGCAGAAUGCGGGAAAGCUGCCUGUUUUCUUCUUUGUUAUUUUGUCAAACUAUCGAGUACAUCCAUGUGAGAUAUACGCACACAUGUGUGUGUAUACCAGGAAACCUUACAGACACGACUGGCUUGUACAGAAUGCAUGAUUAACUGACGGACUCUUUGUUUUGCUGACUGGGGAUGGAGAAGAUGUGCUUCUUUUUAUAACUCUCUGCAGCAAGGCAUGGUGUCUUCAAGGAAACAUGGCAUCUUGCAACAGCUGGAAGAUGAUGGAAAGUCACCUGUUGCAGCCUCACGUCCUGCUGGAAAUGCCUUCAUGGGACAGGCAUCUAUAGAUCAACCUCUGUAUAAGAUGAGGAGGGUGCUACCGGCAUAAAGCAAGGGGUGACUGAACUCCAUGAAGCCAAUUGAUGGGAAAGGAGGGAGGGCAUGAGCGAUCCAUGGUGUCCCAACUGCAAGUAGAAUUUCUAUUUCUUUCUCUCUGAAAUGGCUUAUUGCUCUCAUUCCCUCCCCGCCCCUGCUGAGAGAAAGGUGCAGGGGACCGGGAGAUCUCUGCUGCAUCUGAUUCCCCCUGGAUUGGCUGGCUUUUUGCCCACAGGGGGGCAUUUGAUUUUAGCAAGGAACCUCAGGCAGAAAGAUGGGGGGGGCGGGGUGCAGCAGGAGAAGCCGCUCGUGUGAGCAAGAAAGCAGCCAAUCCAGGGUGGGAGGGAUCAGAUGCAACAGGGACCCUCAGGGUCCCUGGACCUUUUUCCAACAAGUGCCCAUUGCAAGGGUCUUACACACACACACACACACACACACACACACACACACAUGGAUUUUGCAGCACCUGUAAAUAGAAUUUGCAAAUUUGUGCAUUUUCCCCCUUGGAUGCCUGGGUCCCGAUUCUUUCUGGUACCAAGCACCAUCCCUGUUUUCACCUGCAGUCUUUGCAUCCUGAGGAAUCCUGAUGUUCCUCAAAGUUCAGGCCAAAUUUUCAUCUGAGAUUCUCUGUGGUAAUUUAGUGGGUGCGCCAUUCUUCACCAACAAUUAUCAUAAGGCCAGGUAAUAAUAUCAUUUAACAGUCAAACCAGCUGAUAAGCAGAGACUCUGAGUCUAUGAUAUAAUGGCACAUAAUUGGAGCCACAAUUAACUGGAGUCAUACAAAUGGCUUCAAAAAAUCUGGCUCUGCAUGUUUUGGGAGGACAGUCCCGCCCGUGAAAUUGGGUAGGGAUCCAAAGCAGUAGUGUCAACACGAAGGCCUUCCUCUCCGCAUGGGGAAAGGCUGUAGCUGUGUGGCAGGGCAUGCACUCUGCAGGCAAAAGGUUCAACGCCUUGUAACUAGUACUGGGAAAGAUGUCUGCUUGAGACUUCCCAGAGCUGCUGCCAGUCUGUGUAGGCAAUAUUGAGUCUGACAGACCAAUGGUCUGAUUUGGAAUAAGGCAUUUUUCUGUGUGUUUCUCCUGAUGCUGCUGUGAAACUGAUGUGCGUUUGUGCUGCCAUGCAGCCCAUGUAAAAGAUCUCCUUUCCCCACUUUGGGACUAAAAUUGGGAGGUAAAUCAAAUCCAGAUUAAGCCCUGGUGGCUGGACUGUAGCCAUAUGGGGAAAGAGGCUGCUGGGGACCUUUCCCUCCAGGGUUACUCCGGGUUUGUUUAUCUAAUUAUAAGGGAAGAAUGUAUUGGAUUUGGAGCUGCUAAAGAGGAGAAGGAGGUAAAUCAGAGGAACAGAGAAACCUACCCAGUGAACUUGAUGGCUUAGUGGAGUUUAGACGGGCCCUCUAACUGCUAAAGGGCACGUGCUCUUCCAAAUCUCCACUCGGCCAUGUAUCUCAAUGGAGUAACCACACUCAGGGGUCAAGUAUGGAUUGUCACUGAACUUUGAGUUGUUGCUGAAAUGUGAGUUAUAGCCUGGAUUCAGGCAACAUGGCAAACUACAUUUCAACAUGCUGGAGUGUGCUUUAUUCUGCUGACUGAACCCGGUUGAGUUGAGAAACCAUGGUGAACGAGCCACACUGCACAACCCAACUGCAAAACCUGGAUUGUUAACCUUCCUGGGUUGUUCAUGGUUAACAAGCUAUGGCUUAUUAGUGCAGCUGGUUCAGACAUCAACCCCCAUUUCAAUAACAACCCACACUUAAGUCAUGCAACCCAAUAUCAUACUGUCUGAACCUAAUCUCAGACCUUGCUAGCUUACCAGCUGUAGUGAGGAUAAAGGUAUGCAAGGAAAUUGUGUAUGACACACUGUUCCUUGGAGGAUGAGAUUAAAAUGCAUUAAGACUUAUGCCUUGAUUUCCAUAUGUCUGCAAUUUGCAUUGCAUGUUUGAUUGGUAUCAGCUGAACAAAAACCAGAUGAUUAAUCAGCUAAAAACCUCAUUAGUUGGUGGUUGUGCAGUGGCCCCAUGCCCAAGGGCAACCUGGCUAUGGGUGCACAGUCUGGUGCAGCUGGGCCAAACUGGUACCAGCUGCCACCACCAAGAGUCUUCCCAGUUCCCCAGUUCUCUUGUUCCCUUGGGAUCAACAAGGUUUCAAGGUUUCUUAUGUUUAGUUGCUUUGCACCCACUUUCUGUGCUUAGGGAACCACUAUUAGGUUAUAGGCUUGGCUCAGCAUGUUGUAAACAACCUGAUUGUUGAAUUAGCAUUGGGGUACAUGACCAAAAGUGUGGGACAUCCUUUGUGAGCUUCCCUGCUUUCAUCCACAAAGAACACAGUUUGCAUUUUGGUGAAAAUAGUGUAAAAUAUCUACUAGGGAUUUAGGAAAACAGAAGGGGCAAAAUAGCGUCUAGCUUCAGAGUACAAAGCAUAAACAGUUUAAUCAGGCAUAUGUCAAACAGAAAAUCCAAGCUAGUUAGCACAGCUCUGAGCUAAGCUGUCUACCUAUUCUUUGAAGAUCCACGUGGUGAAAUUCUCCUAUACCUGUAUCAGGUUUUCCCCCUCCUUUGGGGAGACACGCAUCCUUCCCUAGAAUCAGUAUUAGAGGAAAAUGUCCAUGCAGCCUCCUCUGGCUUUUCCACUUCCUGGAGGAUCUGCUUUUAGCACGGAGAUAAAAGAAGCUUAAAUGUCUUUCUUUGGUCCCUCCUCCCUUUCCUAGGUGGAGAUUCCAGACAAAUCUCUCAAUCCCAAGGAUGUUAAAAGAGUCUUCAUUGUUGAGACAUCUGAUCAGAUCACUAUUCAACAGGUUUGCUAACUGGAGGUGCUUGACUUUGAGCUGAUUUCAGUCUGCAGCUCAAUGCCAGUAUCAAGAUGGCAAGCAAGGCCAUCAGCUUUAGCAGAGACCUGCAAACUGGUUGAAAAAGGGAGGUUUCCAUCUGGGUAAGAUGGGGUUAAUAUGGUCUAGUUGAGCAGGCCACUCCAGGCAGAACAGGAUGAGAGUUCUGCUGUCUGGUGAACUUCUCCUUCCUUGGUUGCUUUGCCUGGUUUUCCAAGCUCGACAUCUUUGGUCCCAGUCCCUCGCAUUUCUCUCGCUUCUCCAGUUUAGCAGCCCCUGAGCUGACAUACGCCUCUGCUGUUGCCUCACCUCCGUCAUCUGCUCAGAGACAUGCUGACUCUCUUGGCUCAUCCUUUUGUUUGUGUUUAGCUUUCAGCAGAGGCAGAGAAGAGGUGGGAGGGAAGAUGGAAUGAGGGCUUUCCUUGUCCAAGAUGCCAUGCAGAGAAGCACUGUUGGCACCGGUGUAAGAGAGUGUAGCUUGUAUAUGAAGCUUAGCCACAGCUGCAGUUGAGGGAGAACAGUAGGGUGGUCAGAAACCCUCCACCCAAAAGAAGAGGAAAUCCCAGAAUCAUAGAAUGGUAGAGUUGGAAGGGGCAUGAGGCCAUUGGGUCCAACCCCCUGCUGUUGCAGGACACCAAGUUAUACCAUCCCACUCAGA
Varanus komodoensis (Komodo dragon) is the source of this 3958-nucleotide long non-coding RNA. RefSeq lists it as uncharacterized. The record is from RefSeq and is a predicted model, not a curated record. The transcript has 3 exons. NCBI's taxonomy places the organism in Eukaryota, Metazoa, Chordata, Lepidosauria, Squamata, Varanidae.